Molecule: ribosomal RNA, 1457 nt
Filed under: Streptomyces sp. JAN2
Lineage: Bacteria; Bacillati; Actinomycetota; Actinomycetes; Kitasatosporales; Streptomycetaceae
Description: bacterial SSU rRNA
Rfam family: Bacterial small subunit ribosomal RNA
Source: RNAcentral
UCCCAUUGCGGGGAGCUUAUACAUGCAAGUCGAACGAUGAACCACCUUCGGGUGGGGAUUAGUGGCGAACGGGUGAGUAACACGUGGGCAAUCUGCCCUGCACUCUGGGACAAGCCCUGGAAACGGGGUCUAAUACCGGAUACUGACCUGCCAAGGCAUCUUGGCGGGUCGAAAGCUCCGGCGGUGCAGGAUGAGCCCGCGGCCUAUCAGCUUGUUGGUGAGGUAAUGGCUCACCAAGGCGACGACGGGUAGCCGGCCUGAGAGGGCGACCGGCCACACUGGGACUGAGACACGGCCCAGACUCCUACGGGAGGCAGCAGUGGGGAAUAUUGCACAAUGGGCGCAAGCCUGAUGCAGCGACGCCGCGUGAGGGAUGACGGCCUUCGGGUUGUAAACCUCUUUCAGCAGGGAAGAAGCGAAAGUGACGGUACCUGCAGAAGAAGCGCCGGCUAACUACGUGCCAGCAGCCGCGGUAAUACGUAGGGCGCAAGCGUUGUCCGGAAUUAUUGGGCGUAAAGAGCUCGUAGGCGGCUUGUCGCGUCGGUUGUGAAAGCCCGGGGCUUAACCCCGGGUCUGCAGUCGAUACGGGCAGGCUAGAGUUCGGUAGGGGAGAUCGGAAUUCCUGGUGUAGCGGUGAAAUGCGCAGAUAUCAGGAGGAACACCGGUGGCGAAGGCGGAUCUCUGGGCCGAUACUGACGCUGAGGAGCGAAAGCGUGGGGGAGCGAACAGGAUUAGAUACCCUGGUAGUCCACGCCGUAAACGGUGGGCACUAGGUGUGGGCAACAUUCCACGUUGUCCGUGCCGCAGCUAACGCAAUUAAGUUGCCCCGCCUGGGGAGUACGGCCGCAAAGGCUUAAAACUCAAAGGAAAUUGACGGGUGGCCCCGCACAAGCGGGCGGAAGCAUUGUGGCUUAAUUUCGACGCAAACGCGUAAAGAACCUUACCAAGGCUUGACAUACACCGGAAAGCAUCAGAGAUGGUGCCCCCCUUGUGGUCGGUGUACAGGUGGUGCAUGGCUGUCGUCAGCUCGUGUCGUGAGAUGUUGGGUUAAGUCCCGCAACGAGCGCAACCCUUGUCCCGUGUUGCCAGCAACUCUUCGGAGGUUGGGGACUCACGGGAGACCGCCGGGGUCAACUCGGAGGAAGGUGGGGACGACGUCAAGUCAUCAUGCCCCUUAUGUCUUGGGCUGCACACGUGCUACAAUGGCCGGUACAAUGAGCUGCGAUACCGCAAGGUGGAGCGAAUCUCAAAAAGCCGGUCUCAGUUCGGAUUGGGGUCUGCAACUCGACCCCAUGAAGUCGGAGUCGCUAGUAAUCGCAGAUCAGCAUUGCUGCGGUGAAUACGUUCCCGGGCCUUGUACACACCGCCCGUCACGUCACGAAAGUCGGUAACACCCGAAGCCGGUGGCCCAACCCCUUGUGGGAGGGACGCUUCGAGAGGUUUUGUGGGUCCAGGGC